This 230-nucleotide long non-coding RNA is filed under the name Bos indicus x Bos taurus (hybrid cattle). Its description in RNAcentral is "lncRNA (ENSBIXG00005013351.1)". The record is from RNAcentral. Lineage: Eukaryota; Metazoa; Chordata; Mammalia; Artiodactyla; Bovidae.
AGAAAACUGGAGUGGGUUGCCUAAGAACACACAGAACUCUGCAACACAAUUCUCCAGCAGUUUGAAGUAUGUGUACUUUCCAGCCCUUUUCUCUGCCUACUACACCUUGUAAACAUGUUCUGAACAGAUGGGAGAGCGAUCCACUGCAGUUAACCCCAGACACACACAGAGAACCCAAGGCUUUCUACAGAGCACCCCAGAGGACAAGCAGCACCCUUGAUUCCCUUCUC